This 1965-nucleotide long non-coding RNA is filed under the name Hordeum vulgare. RNAcentral's name for it is "long non-coding RNA (HVUL_LNC006675)". The record is from RNAcentral. Lineage: Eukaryota; Viridiplantae; Streptophyta; Magnoliopsida; Poales; Poaceae.
AUCACAUGAUUUUCCUAAUGAUGUGAUCGAGUUAUCAAGUGACAACACUUGCAUAUAUCCACGAAACCUUGACUACUAUCAUUGAUCAACUAGUUAGCCAACUAGAGGCUUGCUAGAAAUAUUGUUUUGUCUAUGUAUCCACACAUGUAUCUAUAUUUUCAUUAAAUAUAAUUAUAGCAUGAAUAAUAAAUAAUUAUUUUUAAACAUAAAAUAUAAUAAUAACUAUUUAUCAGUGCCUCUAGGACAUAUUUCCAAUAAUUAUCACAUGCACUCAACCAAUCCUUACGAUGUAACUUGUGUACUACCGUCGCUAGAUGUAACUUCUGUACUACCGUCGCUAGUACACAUGUCGUGGUAAUAUAUACGGUAUCAGAUGUCAAAACAAGAGUGUGUUCGUUUGUGAAAUAGUGCAGCUGCACUAUUAUAAGCAUUUGGGAUAGAAUAUUGCUGCGUACAUACUGUACGAGCUGUAGACUUUCUUAUUUAUUUUGUAAUAGGUCGUCUGGCAUACACCCCGCUCACGGCACCACAACAGAGAAGUGACCACCAGCUCAAGCUAUAAGAUAACGUAGGCACCACACGCCCGCGGCGCAACCGGUACGUAGCCCUUUAUUUACGUACGUAUACGUACAGAGCAUGGCCACUUAACCAGAGGGCACGCGGCAGUAUGCCGAUGCGUGCGUUCGUGAGCGCGCGGGCGCGCGACCGACCGGCGGCUAUCCGCCGGCCACUUCACUUCCACUUCCUGCCACCGUGCCCGUGCUUGCCGCCGCCCAUGUGCUUCCCGCCGGAGUAGCCGUGCCCGCCGCCGUGCCCGGUGUGGUACGACCCCAUGUGGCCACCUGCGAGCAAAAGUAUGUAUCUUUACCUAAUAAUAAAGAGGUUAUCGCUUCCGUCGAAAAACCCAUUGAGGUGAUUUUAUAAAAAAGUCCUUACUGUUUAUGACAUUAAACUCGUAGUAUAUAUUAAAUAUUUUUUAAAAUACUUAUAUUUUUUAAACCGCAACUUCAAAUUUAACAUAUUAUACAUAGAAUUUGAUUAGAAAAAUAUGUAGAAUUUAAAUACGAUAUAUCUGUUAAACGUUUAAUAAAAAUAUUAUAUAGGGUGCAAUCUUAAUAAAUAAGUCAUUAUUCGUCUUUCUUUCAUACCGGCACUCAUCCGGGUUGGGGAUGAACACGUCAACAAAAUCAGGAUUAGAGAUGAAACUGAAUGUCACUUGACUGAUUCUUUGUACGUAUUAAAUCUACAUGCAAGCCGUGUUAAAAUAACCUGUGAAAUUUUGAACUGCAUUUUUGUAGGAUAAGACCAUCUUUAUUUGUAUCGUAACUAUAAAUUCUCAAAUUAUAGACUUUUUUAUAAAUUAAGAGCGUAUGCCGUGUGGUAUUUUCUUUCUCCCGUUACAACGCUUGGACCCUUUUGCUAGUGCGUUCAAAAACAGUAUGUAUCACACGUACUGCUCCCAGCUCGAACUUUGGUAUAGUCACGUACCGUGGUGUGGCGCGGGCUGCGCGGGGUAGCCGCCGCCGUAGCCGCCGUACGGGGGGCAAGCCCCGGCGGCGGGCGGAGGGUACCCGUGCUGCCCGUGGCCGCCGUACCCCUGCUGCUGCCCAUGGCCGCCGUACCCGUGCUGCUGCACAUGGCCGCCGCCGUACCCGUGCUGCUGCCCGUGGCCGCCGUAGCCUUGGUCGCAGCCGUACCCCUGGCCGCCGUACCCGUGCUGCCCGUGGCCUUUGCCGCCGCCGACAAGGCUGGACACGAAGCCCUUCACGCCGCCGUUGUGGCCGCCGUGCAUGUCGUGGCCGCCGCCCAUGGUCGCUUGCUUGCUUUGGCCGAUCGAGCAAGUGAAGUUGUUUGGUGUCGCUCGAUGAUGUGCUCAGUAUGUCGAGGCCUGCGUCCCCUUUUAUAGCCGCUUGUUCCGCGGCCCCUUUGGACGUGUGUCGACCGAUCGCAUGUACGCGAGUCGAC